UACGAAGGGGGCUAGCGUUGCUCGGAAUCACUGGGCGUAAAGGGUGCGUAGGCGGGUUUUUAAGUCAGGGGUGAAAUCCUGGAGCUCAACUCCAGAACUGCCUUUGAUACUGAAGAUCUUGAGUCCGGGAGAGGUGAGUGGAACUGCGAGUGUAGAGGUGAAAUUCGUAGAUAUUCGCAAGAACACCAGUGGCGAAGGCGGCUCACUGGCCCGGUACUGACGCUGAGGUGCGGAAGCGUGGGGAGCAAACAGG
This 253-nucleotide ribosomal RNA is filed under the name uncultured bacterium. Its description in RNAcentral is "partial 16S ribosomal RNA". It matches the Rfam family "Bacterial small subunit ribosomal RNA", at positions 524 to 776 of the family's 1533-position model. The record is from RNAcentral.